CAGCCGCCGCGGUAAUACAGAGGGUGCGAGCGUUAAUCGGAUUUACUGGGCGUAAAGCGUGCGUAGGCGGCUUUUUAAGUCGGAUUUGAAAUCCCUGAGCUUAACUUAGGAAUUGCAUUCGAUACUGGGAAGCUAGAGUAUGGGAGAGGAUGGUAGAAUUCCAGGUGUAGCGGUGAAAUGCGUAGAGAUCUGGAGGAAUACCGAUGGCGAAGGCAGCCAUCUGGCCUAAUACUGACGCUGAGGUACGAAAGCAUGGGGAGCAAACAGGAUUAGAUACCCCGGUAGUCCCUGUCUCUUAUAC
This 301-nucleotide ribosomal RNA is filed under the name uncultured bacterium. RNAcentral's name for it is "partial 16S ribosomal RNA". It matches the Rfam family "Bacterial small subunit ribosomal RNA", at positions 509 to 807 of the family's 1533-position model. The record is from RNAcentral.